RNAcentral lists this ribosomal RNA (254 nucleotides) under uncultured bacterium. RNAcentral's name for it is "partial 16S ribosomal RNA". It matches the Rfam family "Bacterial small subunit ribosomal RNA", at positions 524 to 777 of the family's 1533-position model. The record is from RNAcentral.
UACGUAGGGCGCAAGCGUUGUCCGGAAUUAUUGGGCGUAAAGAGCUCGUAGGCGGUCUGUUACGUCCGCUGUGAAAACCCAGGGCUUAACCCUGGGCUUGCAGUGGAUACGGGCAGACUAGAGGCAGGUAGGGGAGAAUGGAAUUCCCGGUGUAGCGGUGAAAUGCGCAGAUAUCGGGAGGAACACCGGUGGCGAAGGCGGUUCUCUGGGCCUGACCUGACGCUGAGGAGCGAAAGCGUGGGGAGCGAACAGGG